GCUGCGUCUCACGAAUAGAGAAACCGAGUCCAAGCGAGGGGGAGAGACGCGUCCAGAUCUCUGGGCUCUGGGUCCAGCCCCGGCUUUCUGCCAGGAUGUGGGUGCUGGAGGGAGGCGGUUGUCUUUCGUCUCCCUCCUCUCCUCACCCCUAAGCAGGCGCGGAGGCCCGGCAGGGCAGGUUCCCGCGAGGAGUAAGUGAUGAGGUGGAGAAGAGGAGGCGUCAGCUGCCCAGGGCCCUGCGUCUGCCUCUGCUAAAUACCUCUGAGAAACUCGGCUUCCAGCUGAAGGGGACCCGUGUGGCCCCAAGAACCCCCUGGAGUCCCUGGGUGAGAUGGACUGGACCAAUCACAGCUUUCGGGACUUGGGAGCCGGCCGUGCCUCCCUGGAGAGCCUCAUCCGGGUGCUCCCAGCAGGAAACAGCACCACCCUGAAGCCAGAGAUGAGCAUCGGCAUAGCAGCCACGGCCCUCUCUGGAUCUAUUGGAGGUAUGGCCCUCGUCUUGCUCCUGAUGGGGGUCUCAAUUGUGAUCUUGAAGAAAUGGAGGCGUGAGAGACUUUCCCUGCCAAGCUGAGCCUGUGUACUGCAACGUGAUCAGCCUGGCCCCCUGGAAGGAGGAUGACUUUGCCAUCUAUGCCAACGUGCCCCGUUUUGGUUGCCCCAGGAGGACAAUGCCAGACCAAGUGGAAUAUGCCUCUAUUGUGUUCCGCUGAUGGGGCCUCGGCGUGUGGAGUGGCAGGGACAUAUGGGGUCCAGACACCACUCUCGCUGUCAUCUCUGUGUACACAUGUGUGCUUUUAAAUAAUAAAACACAAAACAUAUGUGGG
Molecule: long non-coding RNA, 824 nt
Filed under: Heterocephalus glaber (naked mole-rat)
Lineage: Eukaryota; Metazoa; Chordata; Mammalia; Rodentia; Bathyergidae
Description: lncRNA (ENSHGLG00100047664.1)
Source: RNAcentral